RNAcentral lists this ribosomal RNA (253 nucleotides) under uncultured bacterium. RNAcentral's name for it is "partial 16S ribosomal RNA". It matches the Rfam family "Bacterial small subunit ribosomal RNA", at positions 524 to 776 of the family's 1533-position model. The record is from RNAcentral.
UACGUAGGGUGCAAGCGUUAAUCGGAAUUACUGGGCGUAAAGCGUGCGCAGGCGGUUUUGUAAGUCAGAUGUGAAAUCCCCGGGCUUAACCUGGGAACUGCGUUUGAAACUACAAGGCUAGAGUGUGGCAGAGGGGGGUGGAAUUCCACGUGUAGCAGUGAAAUGCGUAGAGAUGUGGAGGAACACCGAUGGCGAAGGCAGCCCCCUGGGUUAACACUGACGCUCAGGCACGGAAGCGUGGGGAGCAAACAGG